This 382-nucleotide ribosomal RNA is filed under the name uncultured eukaryote. RNAcentral describes it as "partial 18S ribosomal RNA". It matches the Rfam family "Eukaryotic small subunit ribosomal RNA", at positions 592 to 975 of the family's 1831-position model. The record is from RNAcentral.
CAAUAGCGUAUAUUAAAGUUGUUGCAGUUAAAAAGCUCGUAGUUGGAUUUCUGGCAGGAGCGACCGGUCACACACUCUGUGUGUGAACUUGUGUUGUCUCUGGCCAUCCUUGGGGAGAUCCUGUUUGGCAUUAAGUUGUCGGGCAGGGGACAUCCAUCGUUUACUGUGGAAAAAUUAGAGUGUUUAAAGCAGGCUUAUGCCGUUGAAUAUAUUAGCAUGGAAUAAUAAGAUAGGACUUCGGAACUAUUUUGUUGGUUUGCGUUACGAAGUAAUGAUUAAUAGGGACAGUUGGGGGUAUUCGUAUUUCGUUGUCAGAGGUGAAAUUCUUGGAUUUCCGAAAGACGAACUACUGCGAAAGCAUUUACCAAGGAUGUUUUCAUUA